CCUACGGGAGGCAGCAGUGGGGAAUUUUGGACAAUGGGCGAAAGCCUGAUCCAGCCAUGCCGCGUGAGUGAAGAAGGCCUUCGGGUUGUAAAGCUCUUUUAGUCGGAAGGAAAGAGUUGCAAUGAAUAAUUAUGAUUUAUGACGGUACCGACAGAAAAAGCACCGGCUAACUACGUGCCAGCAGCCGCGGUAAUACGUAGGGUGCGAGCGUUAAUCGGAAUUACUGGGCGUAAAGGGUGCGCAGGCGGUCUUGCAAGUCAGAUGUGAAAGCCCCGGGCAUAACCUGGGAAUUGCGUUUGAAACUACAAGGCUAGAGUGCAGCAGAGGGGAGUGGAAUUCCAUGUGUAGCAGUGAAAUGCGUAGAGAUGUGGAAGAACACCGAUGGCGAAGGCAGCUCCCUGGGUUGACACUGACGCUCAUGCACGAAAGCGUGGGGAGCAAACAGGAUUAGAUACCCUGGUAGCCCACGCCCUAAACGAUGUCAACUAGUUGUCGGAUCUAAUUAAGGAUUUGGUAACGUAGCUAACGCGUGAAGUUGACCGCCUGGGGAGUACGGUCGCAAGAUUAAAACUCAAAGGAA
RNAcentral lists this ribosomal RNA (580 nucleotides) under uncultured beta proteobacterium. RNAcentral's name for it is "bacterial SSU rRNA". It matches the Rfam family "Bacterial small subunit ribosomal RNA", at positions 338 to 909 of the family's 1533-position model. Lineage: Bacteria; Pseudomonadati; Pseudomonadota; Betaproteobacteria. The record is from RNAcentral.